Agrilus planipennis (emerald ash borer) is the source of this 1122-nucleotide long non-coding RNA. RefSeq lists it as uncharacterized. The record is from RefSeq and is a predicted model, not a curated record. The transcript is spliced from 7 exons. NCBI's taxonomy places the organism in Eukaryota, Metazoa, Arthropoda, Insecta, Coleoptera, Buprestidae.
UUUCAGCAUUUGCAAAUUAAGGAGAAUUCCACUGCUAUAAGAAUAUUUUGGACUGCCCUUUGACUUACAAAGAAAGAAGUUUUGAACUAUUCACUUCCGGAGUUUUGUGUAGGGGUUUUAGAUCCUUCACUAAACAUGUGGGCACUACAAAGUUGUUAUUCCAGAAUUGCUCUUUACAAACAUGGACAGUAGGUACAUUGGAAAGGCUUCCUUUGAGAUAAUAUCCUUGGAUUAGAUGGGCAAACUAUUUACAGAUGUGAUGUUCCUGGCAGUCAAAUAUAUUUUUAUUUCCAAGAAUGCUGGUCGAAAAAUACAUACAACAGGAUGUUAAUGGUGUUUCCAGUAAAAUGUAAUAAAUUGACAUUAAGAGGGUAAAUCAGCAAGGGGAAGAAGUACAAUCCCAUUCAGCUUCUUUCUACUGGCUUUGGAAAUGGGCCGUUAGUGGAAAGGGUUAUGAUUUUAACACAUGAAACAAACAAGGUGAAAAAAUACAAAGGAUUGGAAACCUGGAGAAGUGGAGCCCCUUGGACUUGAAAGGUGCAGUUUUUAGAAAUAUGUGCAGUCCAAUUGACACCGAUGCAUAUAAAGUUACACUUGUGAUGUCUUUGUGGCUCAUUUCACCAUCAGUGGUAUUAUUUUCCUUUCACAAGCAUCUAUUGUUGAAGGUACUUCCCUGUUGUCAACGCUUAGGAAUAAAACUCUAGCAUCAUAGAGUAUACUUGAGAUCGUCCAACAGAUGAGAGGAAAUUGAAGUUCAGAUUGAUCCUAUUGAAGCAAAACUAAUAACUGGUGUUGUCUUUCUUGGACUCUAUUCUGGAUUUGCUGUUUUCAUCUUCACCUUGCAACAUUAUGCAGUUAAUUUUCAACAGAUAAGUGAGAACAAGAGGAGAUUUACUGGAAUUCCACUAAAGGAGCAAGUUUUCUUCUUUGGCAUUUCUACUGGAUUUGGUUUGCUUUUCACACCUGCAAACUUUGGAUUGUUACAGUCUAUUAUUAAUUAAGAUCGACGUUGGAGAAGACAAAGAUGACCCCAUAGUUAAAAUAGUUCUCUAUCUUGCAUGCUCUAUGUAGUAGAAUUCAUCAAGUUCGUUUUAUUCAAAUUAGUUUUUUAUUUUGCAUGUU